GUUCAUUUUUACCGGACAGUGGAGGUGGAUGAAAAGUUGUUAGACAAGAGAAGAGGAAACAGCUAUAUUGGAAGUAGAGCAGGAGAAACUUAAGUUAGAGAUGAGAAACAUGGCAUCACUGACAGGAUAAAGCUGGGAUAUUUCUGAGCCUUGCCAUCAUUUUUGAACUGGUCUUAAAUUAUUGCUCACAGGAGAAAGGAAGAGCAACUGUAGCACCUCUGUUCACUGUUGCUGGCAGACAACAAACUUGAGAUGAAGCCACAUUUGCAGGGGAAAAAUUGCCUACGCCCACAGAAUGAAAUUUCAGGCUUUGACAGUUGCUAGGUUCAGAAAGGGGCUUCCCUGCUGAGGAGCCAUGCUCUUUCCACGAUGAAGAACUAGAGACCGUCUUGUGCAGUGGGCUGGCAGAGAGGAGCCACACAGUGAAGUGUAAAUUGCUCAGGAUCACAAUUCAGAGGACAUGGGUUCUCACCUUGGCUCUAUGACUCAUUUUGUGCCUUUCACCCCUACAAUCUCUCCGAACCUCAGUCUCUGAAUGAAUGAAAUGAGACUGACCAAACCAAUCUGGCUAAAUAUAAAGGUAUAACAUCCUGAUCAAACACAGGAAUUUGUACUUGCAUAGUAGAUGCAUCAAUAGCAUACCUUUGGGACAUUAUUGCUCUUAGGUGCUAUUGUUAACAACGGGCCUCCUAAUCUAGAUGUUCUCACUCUAGUUCUUCCAUGAGGAUUUCUGGGAAGUUUGCCUAUGAGGGAAAGUUAUGACCCACGAUCUACUGUUGCUUUGGGAAGUCUUCAGCAGCUGGUGCCAGCUGUGUUAUCCUGAUACUUUUUUUUGUUUAUUUGUUUGAGAUGGAGUCUUGGUCUGUCACCCAGGCUGGAGUGCCGUGGCAUGAUCUCAGCUCACUGCAACCUCUGCCUCCAGGGUUCAAACAAUUCUCCUGCCUCAGCCUCCCGAGUAGCUGGGAUUACAGGUGCACACCGCCACACCCGGCUAAUUCUUUUGUAUUUUUAGUAGAGAUGGGGCUUCACCAUGUUGGCCAGGCUGGUCUUGAACUCCUGACCUCAGGUGAUCCGCCUGCCUUGGCCUCCCAAAGUGCUGGGAUUACAGGCAGGAGCCACCGCACCCAGCCUCCUGAAACAUUUCAUAAGAGAGGUAUACGUAAUCCUCUGCCAUAUUUAGCAGAGAGUUUCACAGGUUCUGUGAAUUACCUGGUGCUCUUCAGGACAUAGGCAAUGCCACAAAUAUCACACCCAUGGAUGAGGCUACCCAGUCCAUGUCCCUGCAGGGGAAAUUCUCCCACCAUCCCAGAGCCUCCAAAGGAGCACACAGUGAUUUGCCCUAAAGAGUAUCAACUUUGAAAGUUUGUAAACAUGCCUCAAAGGAGACAAUUUGAAAAUUCUAAACACAGGUCAUUGAACAUUUAUUGCUAGUUGUCCUGAUUAUUUUGAGAGGUGAAAAGCACUCAUGUUUAAAUCUACAUUUGGAUCAUCUAGUCUUGCCUACCUAUUCCAUGAGAAUAAAG
This 1523-nucleotide long non-coding RNA is filed under the name Homo sapiens (human). Its description in RNAcentral is "HSALNT0052180". The record is from RNAcentral. Lineage: Eukaryota; Metazoa; Chordata; Mammalia; Primates; Hominidae.